GGGGGGUGAAGCGAUCCCUCUUUCCGAGGACCAUAAACCAAACAGAACUGACGAGCGGAGGAGAAUUGAAAAUGCUGGGGGUGUUGUCAUGUGGGCUGGCACUUGGAGGGUAGGAGGAGUGUUAGCAAUGUCCCGUGCUUUCGGUAACAAGAUGUUGAAGCAGUUUGUUGUGGCGGAUCCUGAUAUUCAGGAUCUUGAAGUAGACAAGGACAUCGAGUUGCUUGUUCUCGCAAGUGAUGGACUUUGGGACGUGGUACGCAACGAGGAUGCAGUAUUAGUUGCAGGGAAG
RNAcentral lists this unclassified non-coding RNA (289 nucleotides) under Hevea brasiliensis (rubber tree). Lineage: Eukaryota; Viridiplantae; Streptophyta; Magnoliopsida; Malpighiales; Euphorbiaceae. The record is from RNAcentral.